Molecule: long non-coding RNA, 1015 nt
Organism: Quercus lobata
Lineage: Eukaryota; Viridiplantae; Streptophyta; Magnoliopsida; Fagales; Fagaceae
Exons: 3
Source: RefSeq, a predicted model, not a curated record
UGAAGGCCAAUCACAUCUUAAAUCUUUAGCUUUCUCAGCAAAAAAUCAUCACAUCUAAAUAUUCUCUAGAUCAAACCUUUGUUCCACAUUUCAUUAAGAAAACCAUGUUUAUUACUUGAAAUGUAAAGAGGAAGAGAAAGAGAGACAUUGAUGACUGAUUUUCUCAAUAUUCAAGUAACAAAAUGCAGAAGAAAAAAUUACAAAAGGCAGAAAAAGGAAAGAAGAGACAAAUAAGAAAAGGCAAAAAAAAAAACACUCACUUUCUCCAUCUUGAUUCUAAAAAAAAAAAAACCACUCUUUUUAGUUGGCUUACUUAUCAAUUGGUGUUGGCAAUAGACUUGGUGUGUUCACAUAUCAUCAUUUCAGGUUUAAAGUGUAAAGUGAUCAUAUUAAGUAAAGCUGCAAUUGUGUUUUUGAUAAACCAGGUUUGGACUUUGGAGAGAGUUAAUUAUAGCAGUGUUCACAUCAAAGGAACUGUUUCGUACCGUUCAUUUUCACCAGACUGAGACAACACGAUAAAAAAGUCCCCAGAAAAGAUUCUUCAAAAAAUUCAGAGAAGCAACAAAAAUUGGCACACUCCAGAAGAGAAGCGAGGAAUGAGGAUACGGGCCAUAUACGAAAGUAUGAGUCCCUACCCUACAAGUGUCAAAGGUUGUGGGACAUUUCCUUCCUACCAUUCACAUGGUUUGUGCAGAGGAAGCAAGAAACCAAAAAAGUAUCACAAAUUCUUGAAAGCUGAGGCAGUCCCCCUGGACUUGUUGCGUAGAUAUGGAAUGUGAUGUCGACCCUACAACGUACAAAUGCAGAGAAAAUGCAAACAUGUGAGGUGCUGUCCCUCUCAGUUCUCUCGUAAAGACAUGUGAAGUGUGUCAUAACACAAGCCACUCAUCAAUAUUACCUUGCUGUCAAUUCGACUGCAAAACCUAGUCUAUUAGCACUCUUUCCAAUCCCUACCAUAAUGGGACCAUCCCUUGUCAUAAGUUUGUUUUUGUCUUUUUUUUCCAAUUAUUUGACU